Long non-coding RNA from Juglans regia (Persian walnut), 407 nucleotides. RefSeq lists it as uncharacterized. The transcript is spliced from 3 exons. Lineage: Eukaryota; Viridiplantae; Streptophyta; Magnoliopsida; Fagales; Juglandaceae. The record is from RefSeq and is a predicted model, not a curated record.
CUUUUAAAAGCGCAACGACUAGGACUCAUGUUGGAGGAGUUUUGAGCAUGAGCUACCACUCAUGCAGCGGCAAGGACCCGUUACUCUCGAUGAUGAUCCAUAAUGGUUCCAGCAUCAUCUUUGCUCCACAUUUUCACAAGUCCUAAUCUUCUAAUUGAGGCCCCUUCUUACGAUCUUUCUAUUGCCUAUAUUGAAGUAGGUGAGCUAUUUGUAGUUAUUGUGAAAUGAUUCAAGCACAGUUUCUUCUUGUCGAGGCUAUGCUCAUAUAAUUGUCUCCAUGAAAGAUCAAGAUGUGCAGAAACAGAACAGCAGAGUGGUUCCUGUAAGAUUCUUCUACUUUCGUUGGCCAUACCUCAAGAUAAGAAUGAAAACUUAGUGCGGAUCAAAGUAUCAAAACUCAAUUGGUG